CUGGCGGCGUGCUUAACACAUGCAAGUCGAACGGAGCUCAAAUGCGGAUCCCCUUCGGGGGUGAAACAUCUGGAGCUUAGCGGCGGACGGGUGCGUAACGCGUGGGUAAUCUGCCCUUGUCACCGGGAUAACACAUCGAAAGGUGUGCUAAUACCGGAUGAAAUACAGACCUGGCAUCGGGACUGUAUCAAAGUCAUGCGGACAAGGAUGAGCCUGGGUCUGAUUAGCUUGUUGGUGGGGUAAAAGCCUACCAAGGCGACGAUCAGUAGCCGACCUGAGAGGGUGAUCGGCCACACUGGAACUGAGACACGGUCCAGACUCCUACGGGAGGCAGCAGUG
RNAcentral lists this ribosomal RNA (339 nucleotides) under uncultured Eubacteriales bacterium. RNAcentral describes it as "bacterial SSU rRNA". It matches the Rfam family "Bacterial small subunit ribosomal RNA", at positions 36 to 356 of the family's 1533-position model. The record is from RNAcentral. Lineage: Bacteria; Bacillati; Bacillota; Clostridia; Eubacteriales.